UCCCUUUUCCACUAUAAAAUCCACCACCGAUUUGGGGUUUUAUUUUUGCAUCCACCUCCGAUAAAGAACAUGCCGGUAUCGACCUUGUGCAACUUCGUGAAACGAAAUUACAGAAAAAAUGAUUUCUUGUAUAUGAACAUUGAAGUAAUUAUAUGCACCUUUCUUCUUAAAAUCUCUCUGUCCAUCUUCAUCUAGCCCCACCCCUGUUCAUUGCCGCUACGACCUUCAUCUAAUUCUAUCUCCACUGCCGGAGCAACACAUAAUCAUCUCUGUAUCUCUCUCGAUUUACUAAAGUAUGCAAUUUUUACCUAACCAAGAUUACUAAAAUACCCUGCUGGUAAAAUGGUCAAGGCAUAGUAGGAAAUAAGCAAACGACCCCAUGGGUAAAAUUGUCAAGACAUAGGGUGGAGGAAAGUGUGUUGCAUCAGGCUUUAUCAAAUGCCAUUACAAAUCUAGCAGUUCUGGGGGAACGAUCAUGAUUAGAGCCAAUGCCAUCAGAAAGGAAAGUAAGGUGACAGAAAUGUGAUUAUGUUCAGGUAGAUAUGUAAAAUCUCAUGAUUUACUUGGUUUUUAGUAUUCUUAUCCCUUUUAGGCGUAUUUGUAACAAUUGAGUUGCUUAUUUGUUUCUUUGCUAUAAGCGGUGCUAAUUGUAUGAUUGAACACAAGGAAGAGAAUUUAACAGUGAUCCCUCCUAACAUAACCACAUGUUAUCAAUCGAUGCUUAUCCAAACAAUGAUAAUAUGAUUAAUAAAAUCAAUGGAAAUAGGAUGCUAUUUAUUUUGAUUUUUUUAUUGCAAUCUAUUCUGCAGGUACUUUAGGUCAUAAAAUUAUUAAUUAC
Molecule: long non-coding RNA, 838 nt
Organism: Lactuca sativa (garden lettuce)
Lineage: Eukaryota; Viridiplantae; Streptophyta; Magnoliopsida; Asterales; Asteraceae
Source: RefSeq, a predicted model, not a curated record